UAUACAACUCACAUAGUUUCGGUUCCGUAGCACGUUCGUGCAACUUCGGAUUUCUCUCAAAAAUUUAAAUUAAAAAAAUCGAAGGGUUGUGUUAGGUUAGUCACAACAUGCUUUAUCUUCUGAUUUAGCGGCUGAAGUGGCGUUAGUACCAAAACGCAAAACUUCGGAAAUCUUUGCAAAUUCUUGCAGGGAACCGAAACUACGUUUCCGCGUCCAGUGUGCUAUAAGACGUUCCAGCCCUUGUGCGUGCAUGCAGUGCACUCAGCCAUGUCUGUUUUUUAGUCUGACUUCAUCGCAACAAAGAGGACCACGACCGAGUGCCCGCGGCCGAGCCCUCAAUGCCAGCCUGCGACAUCACAGGCGUGAGGUCGACACUGACGACAACGCCAGCCUCCAAACCAGUGAAGUGGAGUGUGAAGUGAAGAGAGUGCAAGUAACCCCUUGGACGACGACAAGCGACAGGCUUCGUGUAUCGGGGAUGUGUCGUGGAGCAAAUGGGAAAUUACUCCUACCAAAUGACGCAUACCAAGAGCUAAGAUGUUUACACAUAAGAAAAGUAGUCAACAAACAGUAAUAAAAGCCUGAAGAGGAUGUCACUGCACUGGCCGCCUCCACUACUUUCCACCCUCCCUCCCCCCUUCACACUCUCCUCCCCAGCCAUGGUGUUGUGAUAUCACGCUUUUACUGUGCCUGAAGCAUGCGCGGACACGCAAGUGUUAUGCAUGAAUACGGGUGUCUGCGAGGCCUCCGCCUUAUUUUAGGUCAGAAUUUUGUACAAUGCAUUAGUUAAGGUCACAAUCAUACAACGGGAACCUCGGGCUUUGCAUAGCCCAUGUUUUUGCUUAAAUUUCUUAAAUGUUAAAGUUUUCAUGGGUUGUGUUUGUGUGUGUGUGUGUGUGUGUUUGUUGCUCAAUGAAUGCAGCAAAGUAACAUAGUUUUACUUUAUGUGCUUUUUCUCAAUUUUUAAUUUUAUUUUGGAUUGUCAUGUUAUCAAUUUAAAUACUUAAUUGAGUUGUACCUUUGCACUGAAGUUGACCAACAUUCAUGAGGCCAUGCAGGGUUUGGUCAUGUCCUGGACGCAUGUUGUUUCGGUAUGUUUGAAUUCUGUUUUCUUUAAUUUUCUUAACGUAAAUUCUUUUGAGAACUUAUUAUGUAUUACUUUCAUCUGUUCAUGUUUGCGUAACUAUUGGUGCCUGUUGCAGCUUUAGUUGUGUCCAUUUAACAACAUGCAUAUGACGUUUCAUUCCUUAAGUGACACUGUUUUGUGUAAAGUUUGCUAACCUCUAUGUUUGCUAUAAACUGGCAGCUCGUACACCCUUAAAUGUUUCAGCCAUUAGGUAAUAACUCUGUUAAUUAUUACAUUCCACGGUACAGUUACAGUUGUUUGAUGGCCUUACAUGCGUGUGUCGUUUGUGUGUAAGAUGUUACACUGUUUGAUCCUUUCUGUGUUACACAUUUCAUAUAUGCGUUAUUUACCUGGUUUAAUAUCACUUUUACAUGUAUAGCUGUGAGUAUUAACUUGUAAUUAACAGCUUCCACAAAUAUAAGAAUUUUUUUAAA
This is an RNA transcript of Bacillus rossius redtenbacheri, 1560 nucleotides long. RefSeq lists it as uncharacterized. The transcript has 5 exons. The record is from RefSeq and is a predicted model, not a curated record. NCBI's taxonomy places the organism in Eukaryota, Metazoa, Arthropoda, Insecta, Phasmatodea, Bacillidae.